This 676-nucleotide ribosomal RNA is filed under the name uncultured bacterium. RNAcentral describes it as "bacterial SSU rRNA". It matches the Rfam family "Bacterial small subunit ribosomal RNA", at positions 153 to 845 of the family's 1533-position model. The record is from RNAcentral.
GAAACGACUGCUAAUACCGCAUAAGCCCACGGCUCGGCAUCGAGCAGAGGGAAAAGGAGUGAUCCGCUUUGGGAUGGCCUCGCGUCCGAUUAGCUAGUUGGUGAGGUAACGGCCCACCAAGGCGACGAUCGGUAGCCGGACUGAGAGGUUGAACGGCCACAUUGGGACUGAGACACGGCCCAGACUCCUACGGGAGGCAGCAGUGGGGAAUAUUGCACAAUGGGGGAAACCCUGAUGCAGCGACGCCGCGUGGAGGAAGAAGGUCUUCGGAUUGUAAACUCCUGUUGUUGAGGAAGAUAAUGACGGUACUCAACAAGGAAGUGACGGCUAACUACGUGCCAGCAGCCGCGGUAAAACGUAGGUCACAAGCGUUGUCCGGAAUUACUGGGUGUAAAGGGAGCGCAGGCGGGAGAACAAGUUGGAAGUGAAAUCCAUGGGCUCAACCCAUGAACUGCUUUCAAAACUGUUUUUCUUGAGUAGUGCAGAGGUAGGCGGAAUUCCCGGUGUAGCGGUGGAAUGCGUAGAUAUCGGGAGGAACACCAGUGGCGAAGGCGGCCUACUGGGCACCAACUGACGCUGAGGCUCGAAAGUGUGGGUAGCAAACAGGAUUAGAUACCCUGGUAGUCCACACCGUAAACGAUGAAUACGAGGUGUUGGAGGAUUGACCCCUUCAGUG